AUUGUUACAAAUUUAAUAAUGCACGUGAAAAUCCACAAAAAAUAUUUUCUUCUUAAUUGGAAACAAAUUUAAUUUCUCCGAAGUUCUUCCAGGAUUAACGUUAAUUACUAUCCUUCAAGAUCCCAAAAACCCAAAGGAUGAUAUUGUUAAUUAAGUAGAAAUUUAAAAAAAAGUUGCAUAGAACAACCGAAAAAUAGCUCAGAAACGAGAUGAAAGACGGAAGAUGCAGGAUGUCGUUAUGUUUCCUCAUCCUUAUCAUCCAUCAGAUUUAAUUAUCCCGGCUUUCUACAUCGAAUCUUUACUAAAGCGUAACGUCGAACGAGCAUCACGUAGAGCGUGAAGGAUCACGUAGAGCAUCCAACAUCCAGAUCCGAAGAGAGGUAACUUUUCACCAAAUAAAUUUUAAUUUGGGUCAUUUAUCUGUGUAUUACUUAUCACCAGAACUUUAUGAAGUAAUAAUAACUUCACACAUUUUGUAUUGAAACAGUAUAAUUAGCGGUUUUAUCAGUAAUCACGAAGUAACCAUCAAUAAAAUUAGAGUAAAUCUAGCAUCUGGGGAGUUCCAUCCAUUAACGAAUUGUGUUAACCACAUUAAGAGAAAAUAAUUAAUUGUAAUAAUGGAAAACCCUAAAGAUAAUUGCUUUCAAAUCCUAUUUUAAUGCCACUUUAAAUCGAAUAUGGAUCGAUAUUUUGGUGAAGAAUCUCCAUUGUUUAACUAUAAACUAAUCCGUGGCACAGGUAGGAAUUUGUAACGAGUCGAUAAUUACUACUGGACUUUCUCUGGAUUUUCUAAAAGUCCAGCAUCUCCUCCUGCAACGAAAUUAAUCUAGAAUUAAAAUUUAACAACAAAUUUCUUAGAAUUAAGCUAAGAAAAUAAUUUAAGAACGUUGGGACAACAUAUAGGCCUACACCAACUUAAUCUUCAGCAGUGAUGGCAAUACAAGGAUAAGAGAAAUUUUAUUAAGAAAACAAAUGGAUUUCUGAAUUGUCCCUGACAUGUUACUGUAGACGAAUUAGUCCAACUUACAGAUUUCUUGCUACAAAUCAAUUGUUUGAUCGUGGAUGAGAAGUUUAUUGGUGUUGUAGCGAAUAAACUUGGAGGAUGCGAAAGAGAAGAGAUGGAUAAAGAAAUAUUUGGAUUAACUGUAACGAAAUGAGGAUGCGAGAAGGAAGUUUACUGGUUUAAGAUACUUCGAAAGAGGGUUAAAAAUGGGAGUGUACGUUUACUAUUUGUGUAACAUCACAGGUGUUACGUAGAAAGGAA
Centruroides sculpturatus (bark scorpion) is the source of this 1264-nucleotide long non-coding RNA. RefSeq lists it as uncharacterized. NCBI's taxonomy places the organism in Eukaryota, Metazoa, Arthropoda, Arachnida, Scorpiones, Buthidae. The transcript is spliced from 5 exons. The record is from RefSeq and is a predicted model, not a curated record.